GGCUCAUUCUGGUGUUACAUAGUGAGAAAUGAUCAUGUAGAAGAAAUUUAUUUUGGAUCCUUUACUCAAAAGAGUUUCUCUUUUCUUACUUAUACAGAUCUGUAACCCAACAUCUUAUGAGCCAAACCUCAAUUAUUUUUAAAUUGUGUCCCUACGUUUUUGAAAUAAUGACAGUUAUCUACAUACUUGUCUUGGUUGAUUUAUGGGU
This is a long non-coding RNA of Arabidopsis thaliana (thale cress), 208 nucleotides long. RefSeq annotates it as other RNA. The transcript has a single exon. NCBI's taxonomy places the organism in Eukaryota, Viridiplantae, Streptophyta, Magnoliopsida, Brassicales, Brassicaceae. The record is from RefSeq.